Molecule: long non-coding RNA, 543 nt
Organism: Gorilla gorilla gorilla (western lowland gorilla)
Lineage: Eukaryota; Metazoa; Chordata; Mammalia; Primates; Hominidae
Exons: 5
Source: RefSeq, a predicted model, not a curated record
GCAGAGACAGGCAGGAUUUCAAAGUGGCACAGGAGACGUUUGGGAGUUUUGCAUAUGCACCAGCAAGGCUCUUGGAUCAAGCCCUACAGCAGAAAGCAAGCAGUAUGUGGUGCCGUGGAAGCAAGAUGCUAAGAAAAUACACCUGCGAACAGUGAUGUAGCAAUGGCUGGAGCGAGACAGGAGAGGAGGAACAGGAGGAGGAGAGUGAGAGAAAUUGAUUGCCAACCUUAGUCCAGUGAAAACUUUGCUCCGAUAAUAUUUCCUUGGCCUGACCAAUCCAGAUCAACAAUCCUCUUCUUUGGUGAUUGAAUAAGGGAAGAAGCUCUGCUGGGUGACCUUGAACACAUCACUUCACUUCCUUGAGCUUCGAUAUACCUGCCAUCAAAUGGGAACAAUCAUGUUUACCUCCCUGAAUAGUCAAGAGGAUUAAAUUAAAUACUGAGGAAAUGUUUGUGCAUUCCAAAUCACCGGCUGAUACAAACACUCAAAGACAAGAGAGAAGGAAACAUAAACAAGGAAACAGAAACAUCCUGUCAACCUGCC